GCACGUCCCCCGUCCCCUCACCCUGUGUCCUGCCCGUGGAGGUGCAGAGCCUCCGUAAGGAGAAGGGAGGAUCCUGCCGAGUGUGCAGAAGGCAGCAGAGGUGGGCCUGCAGGUGGGAGGACUGUCCGCGCACGUGAGGACCCCAGGGAAGGCCUUCUGGAAAGCUCAGAUGACCCCGCUGCUCCUCCGCCCCCGGGUGCCGUUGGCCGGCCUCUGGGGUGGGAAACGGCCAGGCCGCUGCUGGGUUUGCAGGGAGCGAGGUCUGGGCGCCGCUGUGCCCACCUCCACCCAUCCCAGCGGUUGGAUGGGACCCCGGUGGGUGGGCCCUCUCCGAAGUCUGCGCUGCUUUAGCAUGCUGGGCCCGGCACCCCUGGUUGCUAGCGUUCCCCUCCUUGGUGCCUGUGUGUGUGGUCAGCACCGACAGCGCGGAGCUCUUUAACAAGCGAGCAUGACGGGAGCUGCCGGGGCGGAGGAGACAGACAGAGGGGACGAGAGGCCCGCGCGGCCCCCAGGAGGGGAGCGUCCAGGGGGGACACGGUUUGCUCGGCGCGAUGGCGGGGAUGCGCGAGGGAGGUUCCUGCGAUUAACCGGGCCCAACCGCUUUAACUUGUUUCUCUUUUCCCUUCCUCCUUCCCUUUGUCUCCAACCUCUUUGCCUAAAUAACCGCUCCCACCUGUCUCGCGAUGUGCGUGGCCCCUCGACCCCUCUGGACUGCAGACUAAGAGCCAGUGCCUUUCUGUUGAGCAGUCCACCAUCUUUAUGCUCUCUCAGACCUCCAGCAGUCUGAGUUUCUAACGGAACAAGGUGAUGCUUUUCUGUCGUUUGGCAUGGUGGGGUUAUGGUCGCAGGAAGCAGAGGGCUGACCCCUCGCUGAGCCGUCCGGCACCCGUCCCGGGCUCCUGUCUGCUCAGGACGAGCGGGUCAGGAGCUACUGGGGUGACCUGUCUCUGAGACGCAGGAAGUGCGCGUGGCCCGUGCUUCUCUCUGUGUCCGUGGGAGGUCGCGGGUCCCACCUGCCCGGGUGCAGGGCUGCACUGCAUCGCACUGGCUGGCGGGUGCCCGUGGCCCCUGCACACACAGGUGUGGGUGUGGCAGCUCCUACGUUGCUCGAGCCCACGUGGGCAGAGUCCACGCAGCACCAGCCCUCUCUCCGCAGCCAAUGGCGGCUGGACGGCAAGACCUCCUCACUCACGCAGCUCUGCAGACCCAUUGCACAGACAGGGAAACUGAGGCCCCCACGAGAGAGUGUUGUGCAGGCCCCGCAAGGCACUGCAGAAAAGACAAGGCUCAGGCUGAGCCACCCAGGCGGUGGAGAAAGCCAGGAGAGAUGUGUUCGGGUCAAGUGUUUCUCCAAAUUCCCUUUUCACUUUGAAAAAGAAUCUGAUUGUUUUUAGAGAAAACCUUAACGUUGCUGCGAGCGGCUGUGCUGGGUUAUUUCUCAGCAGCAUUGAGCCACGCACAGGGUAGCUGCCCGGGGCCACAGCAUGCUCGUGAAGAGCCACGAUUUCAGGGGCACAGUUGUCCAGGGAUGGCUCCUGUCCGUGCGUCUAAAGGACACCCUUACAGAGGCCGCAACGUCAGUGAUGCUUGGAAACUGUUCCUAGUGCAGCUGAGUUCAUAGGAAAAUACCUAAGCAAGAAAAGGCUGUGUUUUCUUUUAAUGACCGUUCAUCCUCUAUACGUUUUAAAUGCUAUUUUUUAACUAACAGGAUGGUACAUUUUUUAACUUCUGGUAAUUAUCAGCAGUCAAAAUUUUUCUACUCUGGUGCCAUCAGAAUUUGCUAGACUGAAUGACUUAAUUAUGUCUCACCGGGUACAUACUUGAGAACAUUUAGGAUGAAACUGUUAGGAACAUUUAAGUCACAGGCUGUGCUUAUGAAAUUGGUUAAAUCUUGCCAACUUUGGGAUAAAAAUACAUACUUUCACUCUUGACGCGUGAGGUGUGCUAAGACUCUGUCUCAGAAGCCCAUGUCUGGCUGCUCGGGGACAGUCGGCGCCGGGCGCCCUGCGGGGUUCACGGCCACACGAGGCGGCCCACAGGUGUCCCCACACCACCUUCUGGAGCCCCUGGCACACACACAGGUGUGCGUGUGCUUCUGGGGACCCCCCUGGACACCCGCCAAACUUUGGAGGAACAGACCCUGGACCAGUCCUCACGUCAGAUGGGCCGUUGUUUCCUUCCAUCUGUUCUGUUAAAAAGAAACACAUCACAGGCACCAGGUCUCACGUGUAUACAUGUGUGACCCGUGUAUACGUAUUUGUACACGUGUUUCGCUGCGUUACCGGAUACAGUUCCAUCCCUGCAAAGGGCCGCACCCCCUUCCCCUGAUCAGUUCAUCCUUCUCCUCACCAGAAGACGUUCUGCAUCUCACACCUUAUAUUCCUCCACCUCUUAAAAUUCCUUUCUUGCUGGUUCCUGAGGCUCUGAUAUGGUCUGACGAGAAAGCCGGCGUUGACUUGCGGCACUGUGACCCCUGGGCCCUGCAGGAGUCUAGCCCUGGGGUCGGGGCGAAGGACAGGGACAGAGGGACAGGCAGGUGCAGGGGUGAGCACCGAGGCGGCCGCCGGGCGGGAGCGGCCGGUCCGGUCCUUCCGGCGGAGGCUCCUCCGUGGGCCCCCGGCCUGCUGCCCCAGCCUGCCCUCCUCUCUGUGCCCUGCCCCGUCCCUUGGUCUCUCUCAGGUGAAGCGCUGUUAGGAAGACCCGCUCCUUCCCUGGCGGCGCCCUCCCGCUGCCCCCAGCUCGCGCAGGCCCCGGGUCUGGCUGCGAGGCUGGGUUGUGCUCACGGACGGGAGGCGCUUCUGGAACCAGGCGCAGCCCCUCUCAGUAUUUCUCCUCGCCUUGCAGCAGAGCACGAAACUCAAAGCAUCGGUCGCCGCUGCGCCGGGCACGGACGGGCCACUUCUGAAGGACCUCUUGCCACGGCCGAGGCGCCAUUAGCCAAGGAUAGGUAACCGUGUCUGCCACACUGCCUGGCAGGCCUUCUGGGUGUGCUGUGAUCCUUCCAAACUGUCUGCUUUUCCUCCAAAGUUUUGCUGUGCCAUUUUGAUAACAAAGGUUCAUGAUGAAAAAAAAACAGAACAAAAACAUUUUUUACACACACACGUGUUUCUGUCCCAGGUAAGUGACCUGCCUGAGCGUGUCUGGGCCGCACGUGGCCGUGCACUGCUCAUGUGCGCACACACAUGUGUGCCGUGGCCUUCCACGCGCGUUUGCGGGAUCCGCUCAGCCAGCGUGUUCAGAGCUUAGUUUGCCAGAACAAAGCUCAUUCCUCGGCCUUGGUUGUGGAACGAGCUUCACCCAGAAGGUCUCUCAGGAAAGACCGUAUUUUGACAAGACGGUGGAAGAUUGCAUGGUUUGCGUGGGACGUUGGCCCAGGCAGACGUCCGACACAGGUGUCCCGUUGUCUGUCAGCCGCCCCGGGGGGCCGUGUCUGCCCCAGAGAGGCCCGGAAAUGGAGCCGCGCUCACGACGCGCCCUGAGCCGGGUGUCUCGGGUGUGACAGGCACACCGCCUUCUCUGCCCGGGGACGGUUAUUCCUGUAAGACCGAUUUCUCCCGGACUGCUUCCCCCAGGCUCUGCUGCCCGAGCACAUGCGUGCGCGGCCGGGACUACCUCCCCGAACUCACCCUCCUGGCCUACCCGCAGAGCCCCAGCCCCUGGGCCGUGUGGCCAGGCCCGCACACAAAGCAGGCGAUGCUGACGUGACCUCCCCUCGCCGGUCUCCUGCACAACCACCACCAUCCCGGCCCUGCGCCCGAUGGGACCGCUGGUGGAACCAGGACAAGCCUUUGAGAGCCACACGUGUGUGCUUCUCCCCGCCCCCGAAGGAGGGAUGAGAACCACGGGACGUGUCUGGAACGCGUGGCUGGCAGUCGUCACCUCUCGUGGGGCUGGUGGCCCCCACAGCCUCCCUUGGGCAUUUGGGACGACCCACUGCAUCCCGGGCCAGGGCCUCCAGUCCCAGACACCGCCGGAGGAGGGCACCUGCGUGGAGGUGGGCCGUCGGCUUGAGCGGGGGUGGCCACACCGCCAACUGUCCGAGCACAGGGGCCUUGUCCUCACCGUGGGACGGGCCGGCCUUGCCUCCGUGCCUCCUUGUCCAGAGCGCUCUGGUCCUCGUGCUUCUGGAACUGGCCGGACCAGACCCUGGCGUCACCGUGCUCCUACAGCCUGUCGGAGUCCUGGACUGUGUCCUGCUUCUGUCCAAACCCGCUACCUAGCGAAGCUGCUUUCAGGGUCCUGUCUGACUCGGGGUUCGUCCCUCUGAGGGAGGACUAGCAUCCCCCGUGUGAAUCUGAGUGUUUCCCAUCCCCAGCUGCCCCUGUGGAGAAAAAGUAUCGUGUGUGACGAAUGGAGAACACUGUCCACUCCAGCCUUCCCAAUACGAGAUAGGAGCUAGUGUUCCUCACACCUCCACGGAUAGAGCCUCCCCACGUUCUCUUGUCCAGAGAGCUUUCCCCAGUUGUAGGGGAAGGCUGGUGGUCGGGGGCCGGGGGCCCGACCCUUCGAUGUCCUCAUGGAGAGGUGGCCUCCAGGGGCCGCGUCCACCUUCCAAAAUCUAUUUCAGGCCCACAUAGGUCUGACGGUGAGGCGGUAUCUGAAUCCUGAGAAGCAGGAUUGCCGCCCUGGCCCGCUGCCCAUGGCCGAGACCCGGACCAAGCCCUGCGUGUUCUGUUGGAUAAGCGCUGUGUUGUGAUCCGCUGUCCAGGGCGUCAUUUGGGGUGGGCAGACCUUGAGGCUGCUGCAUUGACAGUCCCGGUCCCUUCUCUGUACUGCUGUUUGUUUCUAGAAAUAACCUCCUUGACGUAGCCUUAAUGGUCCACAAAGAAGACAUUUCAGUCUGAGAUUCAAAGUGUGGAUGUGGAAACGGAUGCCUUUUGAGAAAAGCAUCGCCCGAAGCUAAACGACAAGCCGGCCCCUUGCCCGCUGCCGGGUUCCAGGCUGUGGCCCCGGCGACGCUGGUGAGUGAACACGGAGUCUGCUUCAGAGAUGCUCCCUGCCAGGCAUUUUGGGAAGCCCAGAUUUCACAAUUUGUAUAAUGUUUCGCCUAUAAGAUAUUUAUUUGAACUAGGGGAUGAAUUGACUGCGUACACAGAGUAGUUGGGGUAAGUCCAGGUGAAGUAGCAACAGCAAACCAAAGACCCGGAGAAAGGACGGGGAGUGCACCGGGGUCUCCGCCCUCCGUCCCGCGCGCCCCGCCCCCCGUGUGUGGUGGCCCUCCCGUCCACGCUAGGCCCGCAGCAGUGGUGUGUGCAUUUUUACAGCCGUUUUUAAGAACCUAAUAUGGGUAUAAGUGUAAUACCUGUAGGGAGACAGAUUCUCUGUAUGUUUAGUUAACAAAUUCUUUGUAAUGUAUUUUUUUAGAAAUCUUAAAAUUGCCUUUGCGCUGAAAUAUUUUCAUAGCUGUUUCUAUCCCUUUAUUCAUUUAUUUGUUAAUAUACUACAUCUAAUUUUUAAAGUACGUUUUUAAAGCUUUUAUUUUUUAAGUUGAUGAACUUUUGGCCACUUUGCAUUUAAAUUCUGGUGGGCGUUUUGGCCGAAUAUCUCCAUAUCUGAUGAAUGUGAAGAUUCAGGUUUGAUUUUAUUCUCUACACCUGUGUCCCCGGCGGCAGUGAUUAGUUGAAGGCCUAUUUAGAGCACAAUAUUUCGCUUGCUGAUUCUUCACAGUUGAUUGCGAUUAUCGUCUGCUUUUUGAUUUGUUUUUCAUUUCCGUCCUUCGGCCUUAAAAUAGAAGCUUCUCGAGGGAUGGUUUGGUACCCUCUGAUAACGCACGUCUCGUUGGGAAAGUCGCUAACCCCUUACGUGCUCCCAGUGUCUCUUACAAGGUUGUUAGGGAAUCCUCCGUGAGUGCGCCUCAUCGGUGACGCGGGCCCGGGGCGGGAGGUAGAGCGGCAGAGCCCUCCGGGAUGCGUGUGUGCGUGGGACCCAGUGCGAUCUCUCACCUACACGAGUUCCUGUUUACUUGCCUUAAACUGACCUGAAAGCAAGUCCUGUCAACUUUGAGUGUUUGUUUUGGAAACCUCGUUCAGGACUGCACACGUUAAUGAAUUGCCAACCUGUGAUCUCCCACACGGGUCCCAGCAUCUGGUUCCCAAGCCGCACACCAUCCCCUUCAGAGCAGGUCACACUAACACACAGGUGGUCCCCACCACGUCCCCGCCUCCUGUUUUCAGCUCCGUGUCCGCUCAGGGCCACACAGUACGCGCACAUACAGGCUCCCUGGGCCCUGGCCAUCCUGCCCGCUUCCUGAGGGGACCCUGCCGGGAGCUCCGGGAACACAAGGCUUGAGCCUCGUGCCCUGGCAGGACGCCGGAGGCGGGCACGGCAGCCCCGGGGGUGAGACGGGGCUGCGGAUGGACAUGCUGCAGCGCCUCCUCCUUGGGAAGACCCCCCACGGCUCUGCCCUCGGGACGGGGCAGAGAGCAGCGUCCGGACCGUCCGAGCCGCGGGGCCUCUGCGAGCCUCCAGGAGCACCGGCCGGCCCUCUGCCGCGGGCGGCGGGCAGAAGAGGCAUCCUCCCGUUGGCAACUCCAGUGCGAACCCAGCUUGGCUAUUCCUGUGCAUUUGACUCCAUAGGGUGAACGCCGACCAGAUGAGCCCCUCGUGGUGGCCGGGCCUGCACUUGGGAAGGAGGCCCAGGCGCCCAGCUUCUGCAGUGACGGGUUCUAGAGUUGUAGUUUGGCCUGGUGAGAUUUUGCAGCUUUAAGUACCAAAACGUCUCCUACAUGCUGUUCUAAUUAGUCUCAAAUUGUUGCAUAUCAACCAAAUGCCCAGUGCGGCCUAAAGGGAGUUUCCCGGCCUUUUUCUUUAAAACCACUGAGCUCACCGGUGUUGCACUGACCGGAGUAACCCAGUGCAAUUCCUCCUCCUUUCCUCGGAAAGCCGUUAUUUAUUUAACAGCUCCGCGUCACAUUUCCGUGUGCAGUUUCUUGCCUUCUACGUUUCUUUUAGAAGCUUCCCAUUUAAAAACAGGAAAAAUGUCAGUCGGCAAAUACAUUUUUUUGAGUUAGAGGGUAGGUGAAUGAGAAUGAGAAUCAUUCUGAUGUUGUCUAUAAACAAAGCUUUAAUGAAGAUGCGUCGGAAGUAUUACUAAAGUGUGAUUCUACUUUUGCAGAAAAUAAAGAUCAGUUUAUAUAGCUUUAUUUUUUACCUUAUCGAAAUAUACAGAAUUUUAAUAUGCAUAUAUUGUCUCUGACUUAAAACUAUGAUGUGUGUCUGCAUUGCCAUUUAAAAUGUCUAUUCAUUAUGUAAUGUGAUAAAAGAGAAUCUUCAAAAUGUAUUUAACAUGAAUGGUAUCUGUAGUUGUCAUCAUCAUAAAUACUGGAAUUUAUUUUUAAAUUAUUGAACAUAGUAGGUGCGGUUAAGGUAAUAAAUCAGCCUCCAGGUAGUCAGGUUUAAUUGAUAAUGAUUCAUUAACCCACUUUGAAAAAUUAAAUUGUGAUUAAACCAAAUCUUACACUUCUGUAAAGUUUAUUUUGUAUGCUACUGUUUUUAACUUUUAUUUCUGUAGAUAAAAUAUGACUUAAUUAUA
This is a non-coding RNA of Leptonychotes weddellii (Weddell seal), 7531 nucleotides long. The record is from RefSeq and is a predicted model, not a curated record. Lineage: Eukaryota; Metazoa; Chordata; Mammalia; Carnivora; Phocidae.